GAUGAAUGCUGGCGGCGUGCCUAAUACAUGCAAGUCGAGCGAACGGACGAGAAGCUUGCUUCUCUGAUGUUAGCGGCGGACGGGUGAGUAACACGUGGAUAACCUACCUAUAAGACUGGGAUAACUUCGGGAAACCGGAGCUAAUACCGGAUAAUAUUUUGAACCGCAUGGUUCAAAAGUGAAAGACGGUUUUGCUGUCACUUAUAGAUGGAUCCGCGCUGCAUUAGCUAGUUGGUAAGGUAACGGCUUACCAAGGCAACGAUGCAUAGCCGACCUGAGAGGGUGAUCGGCCACACUGGAACUGAGACACGGUCCAGACUCCUACGGGAGGCAGCAGUAGGGAAUCUUCCGCAAUGGGCGAAAGCCUGACGGAGCAACGCCGCGUGAGUGAUGAAGGUCUUCGGAUCGUAAAACUCUGUUAUUAGGGAAGAACAUAUGUGUAAGUAACUGUGCACAUCUUGACGGUACCUAAUCAGAAAGCCACGGCUAACUACGUG
Molecule: ribosomal RNA, 497 nt
Filed under: uncultured bacterium
Lineage: Bacteria
Description: partial 16S ribosomal RNA
Rfam family: Bacterial small subunit ribosomal RNA
Source: RNAcentral